GUCGGCGACCAUACCAUAUUGUAAAAACUGGUUCUCAUCCGAUCACCGGAGCUAAGCAACGUUGGGCCCGGUUAGUACUUGCAUGAGUGACCGGGUGUUGGUGCCU
RNAcentral lists this ribosomal RNA (106 nucleotides) under Trichobilharzia regenti. Lineage: Eukaryota; Metazoa; Platyhelminthes; Trematoda; Strigeidida; Schistosomatidae. The record is from RNAcentral.